Long non-coding RNA from Trachymyrmex septentrionalis, 401 nucleotides. RefSeq lists it as uncharacterized. NCBI's taxonomy places the organism in Eukaryota, Metazoa, Arthropoda, Insecta, Hymenoptera, Formicidae. The transcript is spliced from 2 exons. The record is from RefSeq and is a predicted model, not a curated record.
UAGGUAGGUAGGUAGGUAGGUAGGUAGGUAGGUAGGUAGGUAGGUAGGUAAUGUAAGUUGCUUACUUCACUAUAUAUAGGGUGUAUUUAUAAGUAUAGCAUACCUCGGUAGAACGUCAUCUUACGAGCUAAUCGGUAAUAAAUAAAAGUUGGGCUCGGGAUCGGCCUUGGGGGAGGAUCUAGGGCGGGUGGAGGAGGGGCAGGGAGAGGGGGAGAACGCAUUUAAUAAUGGGCGAACGAUUUUGCGUUUCUGCGUCCGUGACUGAAACAAAUCGUGCGCGACGCAGUACGUUCUCACACGCUUUUUUUUCGAAGUAAAUCGGGAACGAACGUCGUUUCACGAGUCACGGCUACAUCUCGUGCGCGUUAAAUCACGCGUUGCUUUAUCUCAAUAUAAUCUAU